This is a long non-coding RNA of Vulpes vulpes (red fox), 1808 nucleotides long. NCBI's taxonomy places the organism in Eukaryota, Metazoa, Chordata, Mammalia, Carnivora, Canidae. The record is from Ensembl.
GAUGUCACAAAGCAAAUGGUCACUGUGUCUUUAAGCAAUGAGAGCAAACAGGUCUCUGCUUGUGAAACUGAGUGCAUAUUACGCUAAGCUGUCCAGUACUUGACUUGGAGCAAGGCUCCCUUUCCUGUGUACAUUCAUUUCAUUUUAUGGCCAUGUAAAAGCAACUCCGUGGCGCUGGCUGCAAUGUGAAAAUCAACAACAACACUAUAGAACAACCCACAACCGAAAGCAACCAAGAAAGAAAACAUCAGGAGAAAAAUAUGGAACCAGAUGCCUCCAUCGCCUCAGCAAGCAAUGGCCAUGUCAAAAAUCUUUGUCCUUUGAUCUCUGAUCUGAAACCACAAGAGGCAAGGCAAUCAUCAUACUCUGUGUAGAAAGUCGUAGAGGGAGCACAGGGUUAUCAGCUUGUGGAAAAGAACUGGUAACUAAUAUUCCUUCAUCAGAAGACUGGCAAAUUGCUUCUAGACACUGCACUCUCAGAAGUCAUCUCUCUUCAAAUACAUUUCUGAGGAGCUGCUGAAAAACCCAAGUGUUGGGCUAUUGGUGCCUUUGAAAAAGGCCAGUGUUGCUCUAACAGGUCCCCCGAGCUAGGUGGCACUGUGAUAGACCAGGGAACAGAAGGAAAUUGGAUCCUGAAGCAGCUCUGCCUACCAGGCUGGAAUCUUGAAGGAUCUCAGGGGCCAGAAGGACAAAAUCCAUCUAAACAAAAAGUGAAGUGGGACCACUUCCCCAGAGAAAAGAGGGUAGCUGGCUGAAAUAUCACACAUGAGGGAGGAUAAACCUCAAGAAACCCAUCACAUAAUUGACGAGAGAAGAACAAUGUGAUUCAUGAUCUUUCUCCAAGGAGGCAGCUGCAACAUAAAUGAUGUCUCAGGAAACAGGAUAAUCUGUUUGUGUGGCCACAACUCUGUGAUCCCUGACCUGUCUUAAUCUUCAGUAGUGGAUAUAUGUGUGGCACUUUUGUCCCCAGGUGGAACUGAAUGUUGAAAAAAGUCCCACAAUUCAUUUGGAUAUUUUUCUUCAAUCACUGUAGAUAGCUUAAGAACUAUCGGUGAAGGCUGUAAAUCUCUUUUUUCAUUGGGCUCAAGAAUUCAUAUCUCCUGUUUUCUAAAUGAAAUAAGGACCUUCCUGAAAUCUCAUCUCUCUUGAGGAUUUGGGAUGCUCUUGGGUAUCUGCUGCAGUAAGAAAACAAGCUGAAGGAAUGUGGAAAUGUGAAGCCAUCUGGCUGCUGGUCCACUUUCACACCGGCUCUAGGGGUCACUGAGAGCCCCCCAAGGGCUGUUGAGACCGAGCUCCGACAGGAAACAUUUGAUCUCAAUCCAGCAGUGCCCGGACAUGUGUACUCAGAUAUGUGGAUCACCUAUAAACACAGUGGUUAGAGAAUAUUUUAAUUGGGGAAUUUGAAGAAGUUGUUUGGAAACUGACUUCAGCUCCCUAGAAUUAUCAAAAUUCCAAGUCCCAAGCACUUUGACUAAAAAUCACAUUUUGUUAUAUGUCAACUUUUUUUUUCUUGAGUGUGUAUCAUUGGAAAUCAUGAGCAUUCAGUGUGGGAGAGACUUUGCUUAACAUUAGUGGCAUAACAAUGAAUGAAUGACAUGUAGUCCCUGCCUUCCAGGGUAAGUCAGCAAAUGAAUAAGCAUUGGCAAUAUGAGGUGAUGUAUAAAGACAGAUUCCAAGAGACUGGUUAAGACAGAUUCAUUCCUUUUUUUUUUUAAUUUAAUUUUAUUUAUUUAUGAUAGGCACACAGUGAGAGAGAUAGAGAGGCAGAGACAUAGGCAGAGGGAGAAGCAGGCUCCAUGUACCGGGAG